AAGACUGUACUUUCGGGGAUCAUUUCUAUAGUUCGUCACUAGAGAAGUUUCUCUGAAUGUGUAGAAUACCCUAAACCAUGAGGAGGAGGUGCAGUGUUCUCUCCUGAGCAAUACCUCUUCUGGUAUUGCUUUUAGAACUGCCAAUAGCCAUUGAUGAUUGUUCUUCUCUUCCUUCAGAAGAGUAAGAGGGGGAGAACACAGUCUGAGUGGU
This 211-nucleotide small nucleolar RNA is filed under the name Carollia perspicillata (Seba's short-tailed bat). RNAcentral's name for it is "Small nucleolar RNA U3". It matches the Rfam family "Small nucleolar RNA U3". From Rfam's summary of the family: Small nucleolar RNAs (snoRNAs) are involved in the processing and modification of rRNA in the nucleolus. There are two main classes of snoRNAs: the box C/D class, and the box H/ACA class. The record is from Rfam by way of RNAcentral. Lineage: Eukaryota; Metazoa; Chordata; Mammalia; Chiroptera; Phyllostomidae.